Molecule: ribosomal RNA, 916 nt
Filed under: uncultured archaeon
Lineage: Archaea
Description: bacterial SSU rRNA
Rfam family: Archaeal small subunit ribosomal RNA
Source: RNAcentral
UUUCCGGUUGAUCCUGCCGCCGGCCACCGCUAUCAAGUUCCGACUAAGCCAUGCGAGUCAAGGUAUCGUAAGAUGCCGGCAAACUGCUCAGUAACACGUGGAUAAUCUAACCUUGAGUAAGGGAUAACCUCGGGAAACUGAGGAUAAUACCUUAUAAUUGCUUAAAACUGGAAUGUUUAAGCAAUAAAAGUUCCGACGCUCAAGGAUGAGUCUGCGACCUAUCAGGUAGUAGGUGGUGUAAUGGACCACCUAGCCUCAGACGGGUACGGGCCCUGGGAGGGGUAGCCCGGAGAUGGACUCUGAGACAUCAGUCCAGGCCCUACGGGGCGCAGCAGGCGCGAACACUGUGCAAUGCGCGAAAGCGCGACACGGGGAGCUUGAGUGUCUUGGCAUAGCCAAGACUUUUCUCAUUCCUAAAAAGCAUGAGGAAUAAGUGCUGGGUAAGACGGGUGCCAGCCGCCGCGGUAACACCCGCAGCACAAGUGGUGGUCACUUUUAUUGAGCCUAAAGCGUUCGUAGCCGGUUUUGUAAAUCUUUAGAUAAAGCCUGAAGCUUAACUCCAGAAAGUCUAAAGAGACUGCAAGACUUGAGAUCGGGUGAGGUUAAACGUACUUUCGGGGUAGGGGUAAAAUCCUGUAAUCCUGGAAGGACGACCAGUGGCGAAAGCGUUUAACUAGAACGAAUCUGACGGUAAGGAACGAAGGCUAGGGUAGCAAACCGGAUUAGAUACCCGGGUAGUCCUAGCUGUAAACAUUGCCCAUUUGAUGUUGCUUUUCCGUUGAGGGAAGGCAGUGUCGGAGCGAAGGUGUUAAAUGGGCCGCUUGGGAAGUAUGGUCGCAAGACUGAAACUUAAAGGAAUUGGCGGGGGAGCACCGCAACGGGAGGAAUGUGCGGUUUAAUUGGAUUCAACGCCGGA